UCUAACAUCAAAAGAUUGGACAUUGGAACAUUAGUUUUGAAAUCCAAACGUUUGGAAUGGUUGUUGGGGAUCCAAACAAUAGUGAUGUCAUUAAGGAUGGUAUAACAAGAUAACGGUAACUCUGUACCUGUACACAUCCUAGUUAACAGGUUUGCAUCUAAAUGUUGUAUAAAAUAAAUGAUUAAGUAUAAGAAUACUUUUGUGAAGAUAAUGUGAUUCCAGCCUUCUAAAAUGAGAUAAUUGUUUUCUAUGUAAACCUAUGCUCAGUCAGUGGCCACACCCAAGUGAGCACAGACAUUGUGUUGGCGCGAUGGACCGCUCCCUUUCUACCCGAGUAUAAAACCUUUUGGAACUAAAUUUACAUUAUACCAGAGAACAUGUGGACGUGGUCCACAUGUUGAAAUGGUUGAAACUACAAGACCAGAAAAUGGUAAGACCCGCUGAAACUCUUGACGAGUGAAGAAGGUGAAGACUAGACCAAACAUUCACAGUCUGCAGCUGGGUAUGUAAAGUAGUCUAGGACAAUUGACCAAAGAAGGUAGGAAGAACAGAUCCCUCUCACCACAGUGUGGUACACCUGGAGGUAUCUAUUCUAAGAACACUCCAAGACAAAGAAGCCUACAACUAAGAAGGACAUUGUGACCUCUGGUGGACAACCAGAGACUUACAUCGAACUACUGCCCAUAGACUCGAGCGGUUUCAACAGAGAGACGACAGAGAAAGACAUCUACACGAGGCUUUGUGUUGCAAGUCAUUAAAGAUGGAUAACGUCAUGAAGGUGGUUUUUGGUGAACUGGAGAAAGACUUCAACGUUUUUUGCUCGCCAUUCACCGUGAAUCCCUCUGAUCUGCCCGUCAGCAUCCAUCUUGAAAUAAUAGACUUGCAGUGUGACUCGGAUAUGAAGGGCAAAUUUGCCGCAGCUGGCUUGGACACAUUUUAUCAGAAUCUCUUGCCAGGUUACCCCAACUUGACAGCCCUCGCUGCAAAACUGUUGUGCAUGUUUGGAACCACAUAUCUUUGUGAGCAAGUUUUCUCUGUAAUGAGCAUAAAUAAAACAAAGCUGCGCUCAAGGCUCACGCACAAGCACUUGAAUCACAUCCUGAAGUUGGCUGCAACUCAGGAUGUGACGCCUGAUAUUGGUGCGCUGGUGAAAGCUAAAAGAUGCCAGGUAUCAGGAGUCAAAUAAACUAUGCAACCCCACUUAAAGUGCUGCAUGAGACACCCUGAUAUAGUUCUGUGAUCUGUGAUAUACUUCUGUGAAUCACUGAGGCAUUGUGUGUUUGUGUGUUCUUUUUCUUUAGAAUUUUCAAAUAAACUUGAGGUGUUUUAUGAUUAAUAGUGAUGUUGUGCUUGUACUAUUGUGGACACACUGUCCUCAGGCUCCAGCUUUAUGUUUUAUGUUGAUCGUAUUAAAACAAAGAAAACAAUCUGAAGUUGUUGUUUUUAAGUUAUAUAUACCAUGAUUUUACCGGUCCGGCCCACUUGGGAAUAGAUUUUCCUCCAUGUGGCCCCUGAGCUAAAAUGAGUUUGACACCCCUGAUCUAGACAAUACACAAACAUGUAUGAGCAACGACCUAAGUUGUCAAAAGGUAGCUAGUUAGUUAACUAACUACGUUAAUGGUAGCCAAAACAUUAGCUAGCCUGCCUCACUUUAUCAAAAGAUAGCUACCUACAUAACCAGCAAGAAUGUUAUAUAGCGUCGUUGGCUAAAUUAUACCAGAUAGCUAGGACAUUAUGUACCAGUAUCUCUGGUUAUACGCACCACCACCAUUCGAUGCACACCAAGCUAGCGUUACUGGUGCAAACUUGGGGAGCGACAAACUCCAACCACCUAUUCCGCAUACUAGGCUACUAGUACUAGCACAGAUAGAACAAUGAGACUAGUUAUACAAAUCUUUGGCACUGAGGUCCUCUGGCAGGGCAUGCAAACUAUAGAACUUUGGUUUCCACUAGUUACCACAGCCACAAAGUCAAAACGUUGUCUGUGGAGGCAUGAUCAAUGUGUAUAAGUAUUUUCAGUCUCAAACCGGCAGGAGGCGAUGAAACAACAGAGCCCCAUUCAAUGAAGGGAAGCGGAAGGAUGAUUUGCACGUGGAGAUUUGCAAAAUUAAGCUUGAUUUGUUGAUAUUGUAAUCCAAACCCAACCUUCAUUUACUCGUUGUGACACAGGUUCCAAACUCAGUUUUAGACUAAACUGACUUUAUUACCAAAAUUAUCCUAUUUACACUUUGUAGUAAAUUUUAACACUAGAAUACAUGUUUCUGACUCAUAAUGAUGCCACGUAGGCCAUUUUAAGGGCAGUCUCUCAGAUUUUUUGUAUUGUCAAAUUUUCAGCAACAGUCAGGAGAAUAAUAGUUUAGAGUUGUGUAGUGAACAAUUGUUUAUUUUGUUUAACAACAAAUGUACAAGUUGUAGGCAAAGUAACAUUUUCUUUUUCACAUUAACAUGAUGGUCUUUGGUAUAGAUAAUGUUUUGAUAAAAAUGUAUUUGACAAUAAAUCCAUUUGAUAUUA
Long non-coding RNA from Salmo salar (Atlantic salmon), 2512 nucleotides. RefSeq lists it as uncharacterized. The record is from RefSeq and is a predicted model, not a curated record. Lineage: Eukaryota; Metazoa; Chordata; Actinopteri; Salmoniformes; Salmonidae.